UACAGGGGGGGCAAGCGUUGUUCGGAAUUACUGGGCGUAAAGGGCUCGUAGGCGGCCAACUAAGUCCGACGUGAAAUCCCUAGGCUCAACCUAGGAACUGCGUCUGAUACUGGAUGGCUUGAAUCCGGGAGAGGGAUGCAGAAUUCCAGGUGUAGCGGUGAAAUGCGUAGAUAUCUGGAGGAAUACCGGUGGCGAAGGCGGCAUCCUGGACCGGCAUUGACGCUGAGGAGCGAAAGCCAGGGGAGCAAACGGG
Molecule: ribosomal RNA, 253 nt
Filed under: uncultured bacterium
Lineage: Bacteria
Description: partial 16S ribosomal RNA
Rfam family: Bacterial small subunit ribosomal RNA
Source: RNAcentral